AAAAAGGCAAACCCUGGGUUUUCGUAUCCAACUUUAACUGUCCGUCUUAUAUAAAUUUUUUUUAUAAUUCGUAUUUUCAUUAUUGUUAGAUGAUAAAACAUGAUUAAUAUUUUAUGCGUGACUUGUCUUUUUAAUUUUUUUUCAUAAUUUUUUAAAUAAGACGGACGGUCAAACGUUAGGCACGGAAAUCAUGGUUUGUCUUUUU
RNAcentral lists this microRNA precursor (205 nucleotides) under Oryza glumipatula. RNAcentral's name for it is "MIR812 microRNA precursor family". It matches the Rfam family "MIR812 microRNA precursor family". The record is from Rfam by way of RNAcentral. Lineage: Eukaryota; Viridiplantae; Streptophyta; Magnoliopsida; Poales; Poaceae.